GCCAUUUGCUCUCCUCCCUCAUCCCUUCACCUGUAGCAGCAGCACCUUCCAUUGCUCCUCUCUCACACGAACAUACAUACACGCAAACAUGCAUACAUACACACGGGCAUACACACAGAGCACAACACCAGCCUUUGUUGCUCCUUCGCGCAGCUGCCGAAGCCGCUCAAUCGCUCGCCACUCCGUGUCGCCGUCCGCCUGCCCACUCCGACCCCGCCGUGCGUGCUGUCACUACCCGUGCCACCGAUGAAGGAACUGGUGCCGAUUUCGCCAGAGAUAAGGGUGGUGAUGAAGAGUAGAGUUAGAAGUCACGUUCGCACUCACGCUGCUUGUGGCUUGGGCGUUUGCUUUCCAUUGUGUUUUGUUGGUCGUUAGGCUAGGCUUGUAAUAUACAAUAUGGUUUGUAACCUUCUGUACUCUGAACCUUAAUACUUUUGUACGAAGUUUGACUGUGAUACUACAAUUGUUAUACUGUGCGUAUCAAUUACUUAAUCUAGGGACUGAUAUAGGAGGCACACGAGAUUUCUGUAUCAACUGUUUGCUUGUGUUAAGGGGAACUAAAGAGGCACACAAAUGAUAUAAAGUUUUUUUUUACCGAAGAAAACAAAAAGGCUCAUCUUCGCUUUUGACUCUCCAUGCUCAAAAAUGACAGCAUACCUCAUGAUCCAGUAUUUAAAGGGAUGUACAACAUCGUCUACAACUUCUAUUUGACGCCAGAUGAAGAUAGGCCACUGCGAUUAGUCAAGAAUAAGAGUUUUAUUGAUAAGGUGAUGUUUCUUGGCUGCCAAGCUAGGCCAAGGUAUGAUGACCAAGACCUGCAGGUACAAUGAUCACCAAACCAGUGACGUCAGUCAACAAGCAAACUAUCAGGUCAUUUCUCAUUGACAAAGUCUUGCCUACCAUCAAACAAAAAUGGCCAAGUGAAGAUUCUAGGUGCACUACUUUUAUUCAGCAAGAUAAUGCAAGAACUCACAUCGAUCCCAAUAAUGAAGAAUUCUAUCGUGCAGCUAGUCAAGAUGGAUUUAACAUUCGGUUGACUUGCCAGCCUCCAAACUCUGCUGAUCUGAAUGUCUUAGACCUUGGUUUUUUUGGCUGCUAUUCAGUCCAUUCAACUGAAGAUCCCAUGCAAGACAGUAUUAGAACUUGUCGGCGUAGUGGAGAUAGCAUAUGGACAGUUUUCUACAAGCAGUUCCAACCAUGUGUUUCUAUCACAACAAGCUUGCAUGAGAGAUUAUAAAGGCAAAAGGAAGCCAGAAUUAGGUUCCAUAUAUGGGCAAGGCUUCA
Molecule: long non-coding RNA, 1284 nt
Organism: Phragmites australis (common reed)
Lineage: Eukaryota; Viridiplantae; Streptophyta; Magnoliopsida; Poales; Poaceae
Exons: 3
Source: RefSeq, a predicted model, not a curated record